This is a long non-coding RNA of Ictalurus punctatus (channel catfish), 3839 nucleotides long. RefSeq lists it as uncharacterized. Lineage: Eukaryota; Metazoa; Chordata; Actinopteri; Siluriformes; Ictaluridae. The transcript is spliced from 16 exons. The record is from RefSeq and is a predicted model, not a curated record.
GAGCGCGAGAAGUCGAAGUGAGGAGUAGAAACCGUUGUUAAUGUUAAUUCUGGCCCGUUUGGACCCAAACUAAAGUGUAUCAGUAUGAAGCAGGCGGAGACGGCGCACUGAUUCACUCUCAGAGCUCGAUUCACUAAUGACCGAAUCACCGAGGAACCGACCAAAGAUAACUCACACCCUCACGGAGAAGAAGAACAAGAGGAGGAGAAGAUGAGCUGGAGUGGGGCAAAGAGAACUGCAUUCAGAUCAAACGGAUACAAGAGGUGGCCGAGUUGUUUGAGGAUCUGAAGAAUUGAGUGUCACAAUUCAACAUGCACAUCAGCGAAACUUCUCCCUCUGACUACACCAGCACGCACACACAGAAAUUCAUAGUGCAGGUGGUGAUUGCAGGCGCAUUUUAUCCGAACUGCUUCCUCCAGGGAACUGUGGACGAGGAGCUCGCCUCCAAGGAACUCUAUGGAAACGACCCCAGGACCACCAUAGUGGUGUGUAAUCUCCCUCCAUUUGCAUUCCUCUACUAUAAACAGCUCCAGUCUCUCUUCAGACACUGUGAUUAAGUCAAAUCCAUCUCCUUUGACAGCUCCAGGAGUGUGUGACACCACUGUGUGUGUGUGUGUUUAAUUGUGAUUUUCUAUAAACAUGUAUUGUGGGUCUGUGUGUAUCAGGGCCUAUGUAGAGUUCUACCGCUCGUCAAUGAGAGGUUCUGGCGUUCUCCCAGAGGUCUCUCUGUCUCUCCUCCUCACGCAGCAGAGACUUCCUCUCCAUCUCAACGUUUAACCCGCUGGAGAGGUGGAGACUUGGGCAGGGGGGUAGUGUAUCUCACACCUCAGAUAUACACGGGUGAAUGUGGAUAUUCAGAAUCGGUCAGUGAGCCCUGUCGGGGUUCUGAGCAGCUCCAUUGAGAAUCUUCCGUCUAACCCUGUCUUUAUCGUCAAUAUCACCGAGGUCAUCGAAGUGGGGCAUUUCUGGGGUUUCCAGGCUCACGAGGCAAGUCUGGAGAAACAGGGGUGGCUGACAGUGGCCGUUAAUACACGGGCGCUCUGCCCACUUCCUGUCUCACUUUAUCCAAAUCUUCUGUCUUGCCCCUUUCUCUGAAACUCACACCAAACCUGGGAACUACUACAGAGCCAAAAUACUGCAUGUCAUGGGGAGUAAUGUGGAGGUGUUCUUUGUGGACUUUGGAAACACUUCCAAAAUGCCAUGUAACUCUCUGGAACUUCCUGCUGACCGGCAAGCUCUGCCCUUUCAGGCUCAGGAGUUCAGCGUGGCGUGUUUGGCAUCAUCGGCACAGUCAGUCAAGAAGUCAGUGUUACAGACUGCAGUUCAUAGAAACCUCUUCACGGCUAAAGCUGCAGAGAUGGAGGUCGAGGGGACCAUGAAGAGGCGGCUCCAGCUGGCAUCAGAUCGAGAGUGUGGGCGCAAGAGCAGACUUUUGAUAAAGGAGGGUAUUUACAGUGUUUUAACUGGUGUGUUUUUUGCGCUAUUAUUAAUUUGUUAAAAUGUUCAUAUUAUAGUCUAUUUUUAAUUGUUUAUAAAAGUCCUUGCUGUUUUUAAGUGGCUGAAUUAGUGUGUGUGCACGCGUGUGUGUGUGCGUGUUGGUAGCUGGGUGGGUAUAUAGUUCUGGUCGGAAGUUGACAUACCCCUUGCAGGAGAAAGAGACCCUGUGUAAUCUGUUUAAACGACUUUUACGCAUGUUUUGCAGAGAGAUCAUUUUCACCUUGCUGUUUGGGUCUCUGUCCCACACUGUUACAGUGCAGUAUUGAGAGCGCGCGAGGGAGAUCGAUUUUCUAUCAGAAACAGUAACUAUAUAAAAUGGACGUCAACACGCAGCACUCUGUGAGGUCAUUUCUCGCUCUCAACAGAGUAGUUGUGAUUGUUCAGUGUUUACGACGGGGCCAAAACAUUCAAGGCCAUGGUGUAUUUUGACUGUUCCUGUAGCAUAAUCUCACCAAACUGUGUGUACACGAGUCCACAGACACUGAGUCUAUUCACAGCUCCAUGCUGUGUAGAUGUUCUGCUCAUCCUCACUGUACCGUAAAGGUCAGAACCUCACAUCUGUAACCUUGUAGCUUUCCUUAAUCAACACGACUGCGACCAAGCUUGUGUGUCACUACUAUUUUUAGAUCUCCGCCUCUCAAAAGUAUUGGCGCCCUGCGCGUCCGCCUCUCAAAUCUAUUGGCGCCCUAUGCGGCCGGCUCUCAAAUCUAUCGCCGCCCUACGCGGCCGGCUCUCAAAUGUAUUGGCGCCCUACGCGUCCGGCUCUCAAAACUAUUGGUGCCCUUAGUGUCGGCUCUCAAAAGUAUUGGCGCCCUUCACGGGCAGCUCUCAAAAGUAUUGGCACCCGAUCCAAAUUUUGCCACAACAAGCACCACUCACAUUUUCUUCAGGAAAUGUCCCUUAAAAUAAUAAAAGGUCUCUCACUAGGCUGUGUGUCGAGAUAAACGUAAAAACAUCUUGAGCUUGUGUUCACCACAGACCUUAUUUCCGGCAUUUAACCCAAAACCCCAUUGACGGAAGUGCUAAUACGCUGAAUCGUUUCUGGGUUUCACGACUCAUUCCUGCAGCACUCUGUAAGACGGGCUGUUGUUAUCAAACCAUCGAAGUAAGAUAAGCGGCUUUGGUAAUGAUUCUUUAAAUGAACCGAUUCAGAAUCCUCUUCUUGAAUCGUUUGAGUCGUUCUCACUCGGUCAGGGUUGCACGUGUGGGUUGCUUUUCCUGCACGUGUAAUCAGCACGUGUUCACAGACCGUAAAUCCCGACCCCAUGGUAGACACUCGACAGAAAUUUCAUACUAAAGUUGUGUUUGAGUUGUGCAGGCUUGUGUCACCUGACUUAAAGAAGGCAUUGUUUGAAGGGCUUGAUCAGCACCUCCCACGGCUCCUGCAGUUGUACAACACCGAGAGGCAGUGAAAUACCCGAAAUCCAACAUGUGAUGACCCGCAUUGAUCAAGAGGCAGAGGAAGCUCAGCGAAAGCUUAAGAGACAGAAUGGAGAGGACCCAGCCCUGCCUCCAUUCUGCCCACUGUUUGCCAGCUUGGGAAACAUUCUGCAGUGUGACGUGCUGCUUGGCAUGCUGGGAGCUGUGCUGCAGUGGGCUAUGGAGCCCAGGGAGGACACUGGUCUGAGUCCAUGCUGCAGAGGGUGCUGCACUUGAUAGGCAUGGCUCUGCUGGAGGAGCAGCAACAGCUAGAGAACAUUGGGGAUGACGAUGAAGUUACUUUCAACUUCACCCUCAAAAUCUCCCGUCCCGGUGAACCCCCCGGCAACACUACAAGCAUCCUGGCUCUUUUAGAGACCUUGCAGUGCACGCCUCACUUGGAAGUGCACAAAGACAUGAUUCGCUGGAUCCUUAAAGUGAAAUUACAUCUUGAUUAUGUUUUCAAUUUGCCUUACUCUCUCUAUGCGUGCACCUAAUAUGUCCACCAGGUGGCAGCCUAGCAUGUUUUGCAAUUCGCUCACUGAAGGUAGGUGCAACAUACAAAAGAUGAGCGUUUUUAUCAUGAAGUUUAAAGCAGUGCUGCAUCAAGACCUGUUUGAAAUCCAAGCAGUGCAACACCACUCAAGGUGGCGUGGCCGGUAGGCAAAGCAGCACCUCUCACCACGGUGAAGCACAAAUGCUUCACUGUCCCAAAGCGGUUUUGCUGCUGAUCAUCUGUAGGUGGCCCUAGGGGUGUUUUGAUGUGGAUUAUUGUGCGUGUUACUUAAAAGCUGUAUGUCAACAUGAAUAUUUAAAUGACAUGUAAGGAUUGCUUACUACACAAACUGAAUUUCAAUGCACUGUGAUGUGUGCAUUUUAUUUUCCAUAUAGUGAAAACUGUCAGGACACCUGCACCAGGCAGA